GUAACACGUAAACAACCUGCCUUCAGGAUGGGGACGAACAGACGGAAACGACUGCUAAUACCGAAUAAGUUCCAAGAGCCGCAUGGUCCAUGGAAGAAAAGGUGGCCCCUACCUGUAAGCUAUCGCCUGAAGAGGGGUUUGCGUCUGAUUAGCUGGUUGGAGGGGUAACGGCCCACCAAGGCGACGAUCAGUAGCCGGUCUGAGAGGAUGAACGGCCACACUGGAACUGAGACACGGUCCAGACUCCUACGGGAGGCAGCAUG
This 263-nucleotide ribosomal RNA is filed under the name uncultured bacterium. RNAcentral describes it as "partial 16S ribosomal RNA". It matches the Rfam family "Bacterial small subunit ribosomal RNA", at positions 110 to 353 of the family's 1533-position model. The record is from RNAcentral.